Molecule: ribosomal RNA, 253 nt
Filed under: uncultured bacterium
Lineage: Bacteria
Description: partial 16S ribosomal RNA
Rfam family: Bacterial small subunit ribosomal RNA
Source: RNAcentral
UACGUAGGGGGCAAGCGUUGUCCGGAUUUAUUGGGCGUAAAGAGCGUGUAGGCGGCCUGAAAGGUCAGCUGUGAAAACUCGAGGCUCAACCUCGAGACGUCGGUUGAAACCAUCUGGCUAGAGUCCGGAAGAGGAGUGUGGAAUUCCCGGUGUAGCGGUGAAAUGCGUAGAUAUCAGGAGGAACACCUGUGGUGUAGACAGCUCACUGGACCAUUUCUGACGCUGAGACACGAAAGCGUGGGUAGCAAACAGG